GUGGAUUAGAUACCCUGGUAGUCCACGCCGUAAACGUUGGGCGCUAGGUGUGGGGCUCAUUCCACGAGUUCCGUGCCGCAGCAAACGCAUUAAGCGCCCCGCCUGGGGAGUACGGCCGCAAGGCUAAAACUCAAAGGAAUUGACGGGGCCCCGCACAAGCGGCGGAGCAUGCGGAUUAAUUCGAUGCAACGCGAAGAACCUUACCAAGGCUUGACAUGCAGGGUAAUCCGGCAGAGAUGUCGGGUCCGCAAGGGAUCGUGCACAGGUGGUGCACGGCCGUCGUCAGCU
RNAcentral lists this ribosomal RNA (288 nucleotides) under uncultured bacterium. RNAcentral's name for it is "partial 16S ribosomal RNA". It matches the Rfam family "Bacterial small subunit ribosomal RNA", at positions 773 to 1060 of the family's 1533-position model. The record is from RNAcentral.